Long non-coding RNA from Dermochelys coriacea (leatherback sea turtle), 5627 nucleotides. RefSeq lists it as uncharacterized. NCBI's taxonomy places the organism in Eukaryota, Metazoa, Chordata, Testudines, Dermochelyidae. The record is from RefSeq and is a predicted model, not a curated record. The transcript has 3 exons.
UCUCAUUAAUCGCUCCUCAUAUGGAAGCCAUUCCAUACCCCUAAUAAUUUUUGUUGCCCUUUUCUGAACCUUUUCCAGUUCCAGUAUGUAUUUUUUGAGAUGGGGCAAACACAUCUGCACACAGUAUUGCCUGUGCUUCUCCCAUUCCAGGUCUCUCUAAACCAGCCUCCCGAGGGAGAUGCUCUCAAGGACCAGACUAACACGGCUGCUACUCUGAAACCUGAACGAGGCUUGGAACUGUGAGCAAAGAAACUCUCUUCUGUUUGAUUCCUACCAUGCUGAAGGAAACAAGACUUUGACCAUUCUUUGUAAAUAAACAGGAUUGCAUUUUAAAAAAAAAAAAAAAAAGCCUGUCUCCAUCAUCAGUUUCUUUUCCCACCUGAAAAAACCUGCAGGACCCUGGAAAUUAGCUAUCCACUUGGGACAAACAGAGCACCUUGCACAAUGGGAUCCUGGUCCAUGAUGAGGUCACCUGGGCGCUGUGGUCAUACAAAUAAUAACAGUAGAGCAAGGAAAUGAAUUCAUUAUCCAAACUUCUGCUCCUUCGCUCUAAACACUAGCUCACAUUUCCUGUAUGGCAUCUGGUAAAGAUGUUAAAUAUAAUACACUAUUAUCAUUCCUAAACAGACUUCCUCCCUAAAAUUAAUGUGAAAAUAUAGCCUACCUUGAUGAGAGAACAUUCCAUGUGGUAAUACAGAAACCAGUUUGCUUUGCCACUCAUUGGCAGAAAGAAAGCAUAUCAACUUGUCAUUUCUCUUGAAGUACAGGAUUUGAGGGAAACAUUAAGGAACUGUUAAGUUCUUAAGUGUUGCUUAAUUACUGAGUCAUCAGUGUAGCACGAUAUUAAUAUAUUCCAUGACCAGAUUUUUUUUUUUAAGACAAUGCAAAAAUCUGUAAAGCAAAAAUUGUAGUUCUGAGGCAGGGGCUUCAGGCUUAAAUUAGCAAUUCAAAUUAAAACAAGUUGAGCUAGUUACUGGAUCAGAUUUUUUUUUUUUAAAUUGGAAGAUUAUAUGAGCCAAACUAUAUGUUUUUAGAAUCUUGUUACACAGAAGAAGAAAAUUCUGCCUCAGGACUGGUUGAAAAGAGUCUUUUGACAGCUUACUAAAUUUCUGUUUACCUUCUUAGCACCGGAUUUCAUUACUGUUGAACUAUCAGAUUUCAAUGGGGUUCUGCACUGAGACAGGACUAUGCCUGGGUGCAUCACAUCACAGGGUAUUGACGUGUAUGAAACAUAAAUUAUAUGUUUCUGUGUGUGACAGUAUCACACACCAUGCUCUAAAAUAUAUUUUAAUCACAUUAUUAAAAAAUUGUGCCUGAAUAUAAAAAAUCACUAUUUGGCAUCUAAUUUCUGGGGUAGAAUGCUUUGUUUCCUCUGCCUUGGCUUGAUACCUGCAACAUUUAGAAGAUGAAUUUCAAGUGCUGCAGGGCAUGGGAUUUGCAGGUUGCUCAUGUUAAUUUCAACCUAAAUUCUCCAUCCUGGGUCUUCAGAGUAAAGUGGAUACAAAUACAUGUUUUUAAUACAUUUUAAAUAAAAACAAAUUUUAAAUAAAAACUAUUUUUAUUUUUAAAUAUAAACCUGCUUAAACUUAAAUUUGAAAUUGACAACCUAUGUUAAGGUCUAAAUUUACUGUAAUCUAUUAAAAUUAAAAUUUUAAAAAUAAUCUGCAUCAAUGACCGCUCUUUGAAUUUUGGGUUGUUACUUUUUAAAUUAUAUAUAGAAUUAGGGGGGAAACAUCUUUAACUUUUGAGAUCAACUCAAGCUUUAUAAAUGUCACAAUAUCAUGUAUCGCAUUAAGUAUCUAUCUGUUACUCUCAGUCUUUAGGAUGGAGAGAAUGCUGCUAUUUACAUUUUUCCAAAUGUAAGUUAUUUCAGUUUCUGUUGCCCAGAAAAUAUUUUGCCUUAAUUACUUUUCUUUUCAGUUUAACUAGCAGGUGGAGAGAGAGUUGAGCACUAAACUUCUGAAAAUCUCACUAGGCACUUAUCUGGAUCUUUAGGUACAUAUCCAUGGUAAGAGUAAACAAUCCAUCAGUUCACUAUUUUACUGUUCAUUCUUCCAUUGAUUUGCAUUUAAAACUGAUUUAUUAAACAUGUUUUGAUAAACUUACUUUUUUCUUGAUAUAAUCCAACACAUUUAAGGUAGUUUUGUUUAAUAAAAACAUUUUUAAAAUGCCGUUUUUGUAUGUUUUAAUCAAAUUUCUGUUUCUGUCCAAAUACAGCUUGAUACAAAUAGAUAGUAAAAAAAUUAUCUAAUAAGAAAUGAAUCAUUCACCAUUCUCUAAUAUAAAGUAAAAAUUAACAAUCUGAAGAAAUGUAUGUUAAGCUAUGUAAUUACUGACGUAUAUAUGUAUAGAUAUAGUGCUGUCCUUGUUAGAAAAACAAACAACCCACCAAAUUUGGUGCAUAGGCAAUCAAAUGUGUUUUAAUUAUUAUGCUAACCAAUGAAAGAGGUUUGUUAUUUAGAAAAAUAAAAAGUACAAAUGCAAAAUAAGAUUAAAUUCAGUUAUUUAAAUCAAAGUUUCCUGUUUACUGAUCUGAUUUUUAAAUCACUUUUAUUAACAUCAAUCCUCCCCUUUAAGAGUGUAUUUAUCCUCUGAAUUUAGGCAAGCCCUGCCAGCUCAGUGUUUGAAAGCACAAGGUCUUUCAUACAACAGCAAAAUGCCGAGUCUGACAAAUCAGACCUGCAAACUUUGCAGUUUUUUUUUAAUUCAAUCACUUCUGUAGCUUUUUAUUUUUUGAAACUUAAUACUAAUAACUAGUAAGUUUUUUGUUGAUGUAUUUUAAUUUUUUUAGUGACUUCAGUACUGAUGAAAAGUAUGGGAUUGACAGCUCUUGACCAUUGAGUUCUCUUAUUGACCCACGGUAAAAAAAAUAUCAUUGGCACUGGCAUUACAAAUUUCCUCAGAGGGUCCUCCUAAUCAUUUACUUCAACCAUAACAUGAUAUGCUUUCACUACCUCUAGGGGGCAGAGGAGUUCAAUCUUUAUGCCCCUUCAAUCCCUGUCCUCUGCUGAAACUGUUAAUUAGUGCCAAUUGUAAUAAGGACAAGCAAUCACUAAAUACUGCUCUAAGACCACCAAACUUAUCUGUCAUUAGGUAACCAAGAUUAUAUAAUGACUCCCAGUAGCUACCAGUCUAGGCUAGAUUUGAACUGGCAACCCAUAGGUGCAAGGCUCUGUAUCCCAAUGCAAAGAACCAAAUAUCUUUUUAAAGCAAAAAUCUGCUCCUUAUUGCCUUUUUAUAUUAAUUAUAACAGAAUUUUUAAAUGCAAUCCCAGCAUCCCCUCCCCAAUUAGAGAAAUUUUGUAUAUUACCAUUCUAUCUUCUGCCAUUGUUUUCAUUUCACAUUAUCUACCUAAAAAAAAAUAUGCUGAUUUUUCUUUCCAAGAAAAACAAAAUAAUUCAGGUGGAUUGCUAUGUAGUAAUAUCUGCUUAACUGACUGACUUUAACUGCAGUUUGUAAAGUAGAUAAAACAUUUUAAAAUGAGAGGCAACAUAGUCCAGUGACCAGGACACCUAGGUUCUGUUUCUUCCAUUUACAUGCUAUGAGAGGCCCACCGUCUCUCUGCCUCUAUUUCUUCUUACACCCUUUGUCUGUCUUGUCAGAUUAGUCUGUAAGCUCUUUGGGGGAGGGACUAUCUCUUAGGAUGUGUGUGUACCUAAGAGAAUGGGGGCCUGAUCUCGGUUGGAAUUUCUAGAAACUACUGAAAUACAAAUAAAUAAUUAAGAGUAGCAUAAGUACAGACACAAAAACAGUUGCAACAGGUACAGCAGCUGGUGGAUGGGGAGAUGAGUCCCAUCUGGAGCUACUUCUCCAGUUCCAGCUCAACCUGGACCCAAAGCAAAAGGAGUUGCAACUAGGAGCUUUGGAACAUGCAGACGCUGAUGAUGUCAUCACACUCUCUCUUCUCAGUUUUUACUCUGGACAGUCUCUUCUCCUGUGCUGAUUGGCUGUGUGCUCCAACUUCCCCUGCCUCCUUCCUCAGUGUUCUUUCUAUUUGCUUUGUUCCAUCUCCUCUCCACUACCUCUGUCUCCUCUUCCUUCCUUUGGGUUUUUGUUUAGCUAAUUCCUCCUAGUAAAACCCCAUCCAAAAACCACCAGCCAGCCAACGCUUUGGAACUAACAUGUUAUUUGAAAACCAUUACAUUUCUUCUUCUGCCUGUAUGUUAUAUUCCUUUUGUCUUGUCUAUUUAACAUUGUAAGCUCUUCAAGCCAAAGACUGUCCCAUACUCUGUAUGUACAUUUCCUACUACAAAUAAUAAUAUGUAAGCAGAGUCAGGAUGAGCUCUACCCUGACAUCUGGUGGCAAGUCAUGGUGGGUUGUGGAAAAGAACUUCAACGGCUGAUCUCAUUUGCAUAGGCACACCCAUCCUGCCUAGAUGGUUACUUUGGCUGCUGUAGGAGCCCCAGUUUCUCUGUUAUUAGGGCAUGAAUAAACUGUUAUUAUCCUGAUUAUGUGAAUCAAGGACAGUGGAACUGUACUUGGCCUUUUGUUACGAUGGAGGGACUCACCAUCAACUAAGCAGCACUUGCUAGGCAAGGGUCAUGGGUUCCAAAACCUAGUGAAUAGAAAGAGGUUGGGGAUAUUAAUACUUGGUGGUAUGGGUCCCCUGGUGAGGGCUUUACAUGCUAAUUGCACUUUCUUCUCUCUCCACUGUGGAAUAUCAGAGCUAAUUUUGAUUCCAUUAGGAGUCUAGUUAUAGGCUACUGAGCUGAAUUCACUUUGGGCUAAUGGUGCACCAUCACUAAGGCUCCCCUGCUACAAGCUGAAAUCACAAAAGAGCUAAACUUAAUAAGAGCUGAAAUCAGUGAGUGUUGUGUUAAAUAGUGGGGGAGCCUGAAGAUAUAUUGUGGAGUAGAGCAGUUUGUGGGACAGCUGGCAGAGCGGAGCUCCAUGGAGAGGUGGGGCAAUCAGCUUUGGACCAAGUAAGGUGCCCCUUUACUCCCCUCCCCCCCAUCUCCACCCAGGUUGGGAGAAAGAAUUCUGCUGAUAAACUUUUGAAAUCUGGGGCUGCCAUGACCAGGGACAGAGGUUGUUGGACUUUUGGGACUUUGGGUUGCUGGACUCAAGAACCAAAGAGAAAGGACACGCCCCAAUUUGCUUGGGGUGGGUUUUUUGCUCAUGGGUUGUGUUAUGAAUUCUGUUGUUGGUGUUUCCCCAACAUAAUGCCACAUUGAGUGUAGCAAAAAGCCUUUUAAUAACAGAGAGAAACAGACUCUGUGCUUGCGAGAGGGAAGUAUUGCCUCUUGGAGGUGCCCAGUGGGGGUGGUAUAUAUUUGUCCCAGGUCACUGGGUGGGGGCUUGAGCCGGUUUUGCACUGUGUUAGUGGAAUGGAACCCCUAGAUACUGAACCCGGCCCUUGUUGCUGCCAACUCUGAUGGGAAGAAGGGUUACAAAUAUAAUUGGAAUAUUUUUAAAAAAGAAAUAAGGUCCUGAGCUUUCAAAGACUUACGCACAUGUUUCACUUUAAGCAUCUGAGUCAUUCUACUGACUUCAAUUGGACUACUUGUUCUUAUCUUUAAGAAUAUGCAUAAGUCUCUUGGGGCCUAAAAUUAUAUGUGCUCACCAAAGAAAAACUAUUUGAUAUAUUCAAUAAUAAAAGUUUUAAAGGUUUAUUCUAGAAAUAAAA